RNAcentral lists this long non-coding RNA (452 nucleotides) under Numida meleagris (helmeted guineafowl). RNAcentral describes it as "lncRNA (ENSNMEG00000001243.1)". Lineage: Eukaryota; Metazoa; Chordata; Aves; Galliformes; Numididae. The record is from RNAcentral.
CCAUGGACCUUCUCUUCCAUCGAGUCAUGGCUGAGGAUGGUGAGGAGCACAGAAUUGCCUUCCCUCUCCCAGGAUUGAGGAGCAGGACAUGAACUGCCAGGAUUCAGGUGGUCCCCAAAGACCAUCUCUGCUCUUCGUGGGUAUUUCUGCAUCAGAACCACUCCGUCCCCACCACCCUCCGAGAGCUCAGGUGCAAAUCAUCUCCUCAUUAAGGUGAGCUCUCUUUUCUCUCCUUCCCUGAUGUCCUUGGAAGGAAGACAGCAAAUAAGAGUUUGCUUUGAAGAUGCCUGAUGAGUAAAAGGAUGCUGAGUGUGGUCAAUGUUCCUCUCACCUUCUCUGCCACCAGCUCAGACUUGACUUCUGGCACUGCUGUAAGCAGUUGUAGCAAGACAGGUGAUAUUCAGAGAUCUGGCUUUAGUGAUUGUUUUAACACCAAGGGAGUUUUUGUGUAG